This 301-nucleotide ribosomal RNA is filed under the name uncultured bacterium. Its description in RNAcentral is "partial 16S ribosomal RNA". It matches the Rfam family "Bacterial small subunit ribosomal RNA", at positions 509 to 807 of the family's 1533-position model. The record is from RNAcentral.
CAGCAGCCGCGGGAAUACGAAGGGGGCUAGCGUUGCUCGGAUUUACUGGGCGUAAAGGGCGCGUAGGCGGACAGUUAAGUUGGGGGUGAAAGCCCGGGGCUCAACCUCGGAAUUGCCUUCAAUACUGGCUGUCUUGAGUGUGAGAGAGGUGUGUGGAACUCCGAGUGUAGAGGUGAAAUUCGUAGAUAUUCGGAAGAACACCAGUGGCGAAGGCGACACACUGGCUCACUACUGACGCUGAGGCGCGAAAGCGUGGGGAGCAAACAGGAUUAGAUACCCGUGUAGUCCCUGUCUCUUAUAC